GGAUGUGAAGCUGAUCUGGCUGCAACGUCCGUCACCCCAUUGAUCACCAGGGUAGAUUCAGCUGAUCUGGCUGGCUAGGCAGGUGUCGCCUUCCUCCCUCACUGCUUCACGUGACUCCUUCCUGAAGCAGCGCGCUCAGUGGAAGAGGACGACCAUCCGCAAUAGAGGGGGACUGGUCUUUUGUCAAGGGUAUAAGAGUAGCUGUGCUCCCCUGCUGGAACCUCCAAACAAGCUCUCAAGGUUCAUGAACAUGAUUUUAUUUCAACUGUUGUAUGAUCAAUAAUAGAGCUUCAUCGUGAUGGUGUUCAAAGAU
RNAcentral lists this small nuclear RNA (313 nucleotides) under Nomascus leucogenys (northern white-cheeked gibbon). Its description in RNAcentral is "7SK RNA (ENSNLEG00000019537.2)". It matches the Rfam family "7SK RNA". From Rfam's summary of the family: 7SK was discovered as an abundant small nuclear RNA in the mid-70s but a possible function has only recently been suggested. Lineage: Eukaryota; Metazoa; Chordata; Mammalia; Primates; Hylobatidae. The record is from Rfam by way of RNAcentral.